Molecule: non-coding RNA, 803 nt
Filed under: Beta vulgaris subsp. vulgaris (sugar beet)
Lineage: Eukaryota; Viridiplantae; Streptophyta; Magnoliopsida; Caryophyllales; Amaranthaceae
Description: Bacterial large subunit ribosomal RNA
Rfam family: Bacterial large subunit ribosomal RNA
Source: Rfam by way of RNAcentral
GUGUAUUGACUGUGUAGGAUAGGUGGGAGGCUAUGAACCUUGGGCGCAAGCUUGAGGGGAGCCAUUGGUGAAAUACCACCCUUUUAAUGCAUAAGUUCUAACGCUGAUUCCUGUGAGUCCAGGCAGCGGACAGUGUCAGUUGGGCAGUUUGACUGGGGCGGUCUCCUCCUAAAGAGUAACGGAGGAGCCCAAUAGGUACCUCAGCCUGGUUGGCAAUCAGGCAUCGAGCGCAAAGGUAGAAGGGUGCUAAACUGCGAGACCCAUGAGUCGAGCAGAGUACGAAAGUAGGGCUUAGUGAUCCGGUAGUCCCGUAUGGAAGGGCUAUCGCUCAACAGAUAAAAGGUACUCCGGGGAUAACAGGCUUAUCGCUCCCGAGCGUCCAUAGCGGCGGAGCGGUUUGGCACCUCGAUGUCGGCUCAUCACAUCCUGGGGGUGGAGAAGCUCCCAAGGGUUUGGCUGUUCGCCAAUGAAAGUGGUACGUGAGCUGGGUUCAGACCGUCGUGAGACAGGUCGGUCCCUAUCUACUGUGGGCGCACGAGACUUGAGGAGGUUCUUCUUUAGUACGAGAGGAUUUAGAAGGACGACCCUCUGGUGUUCCUGUUGUCGCGCUAGCGGCACGGCAGGGUAGCUAAGGUCGGAACGGAUAAACGCUGAAGGCAUCUAAGCGUGAAGCCCGCUCCAAGAUUAGGUCUCGUUGGGUAAUACCCGAAAGUCCCCUGGAAGACGACCAGGUUGAUAGGUCGGAUGUGUAAGUGCAGUAAUGCAUUCAGCUAACCGAUACUAAUGGACGAACGCUUGGCCGC